This 497-nucleotide ribosomal RNA is filed under the name uncultured bacterium. RNAcentral's name for it is "partial 16S ribosomal RNA". It matches the Rfam family "Bacterial small subunit ribosomal RNA", at positions 28 to 507 of the family's 1533-position model. The record is from RNAcentral.
GAUGAACGCUGGCGGCAUGCCUAACACAUGCAAGUCGAGCGAAUGGACGGAAAUCUUGCUUCGCUUCUGUUAGCGGCGGGCGGGUGAGUAACACGAGGCUAACCGACCUAUAAGAAUGACAUCACUUAGGGAACCCUAAUACAACAUAGGUCAAGAUUUUGAACGGCAUGGUUCAAAAGAGAACGACGUUCUUGCUGACACUUGUAGGUGGAACCUGGUUGCAUUAGCUAGUUGGUAAGGUAACGGCUUACCAAGGCAACGAUGCAUAGCUGACCUGAGAGGGUGAUCAGCCACACUGGAACUGAGACACGGUCCAGACUCCUACGGGAGGCAGCAGUAGGGAAUCUUCCGCAAUGGGCGAAAGCCUGACGGAGCAACGCCGCGUGAGUGAUGAAGGUCUUCGGAUCGUAAAACUCUGUUAGUAGGGAAGAACAGAUGUGUAAGUAACUGUUCACAUCUUGACGUUACCUACUCAGAAAGCCACGGCUAACUACGUG